UUGACGGCGGCCGAAGCUUCUUGGGUCAUGGCGCAGCACCAGGGUGCUCCCCGGAUUUCACAGCGCCCACGGUUCGCAAGUUCGACAGCGGCGGUGGAGGUGAGCUCGGUGGUUGGCUUCGCGAGAAGGACGGACGACGCGCAGGGAGUAAAGCACCUCGAAGAAAAAGUUGAAGUAGAAGUGGAAGCGGAGCCUUUUCUUCCAUCGGAACCUUCUCCAACUGAGGUUGUCACUGAAGGUCCUCCAGAAGUUGCAGCAGCCAACCCGCUCGCCUCGCAGCUGCAGAGUCCAGCGACGCACGCUGUCCGCAGCUCGCAGCAUCCGGCCAACCCACUCGCUUUGCAGCCUGCGGCGUUUGGCAAACCCGCUGCUCGCAGCGUCCGACGACGCUGACGGAGCGGAUCUCCCUCCCAAUCCACCGUCAAUGGCCACCGACCUCCGGAGAACGCGGACGACGAUGGAGUGGAGGACGAACGUGCCGCCGUGCCCUCUCCAGAGCGGUGCGAGGUGCUGGUUUCUGCGAUCGCGGGGGUGCUGGCCAGCACGCUGAGGGAGCACGACGAGCGGGUGGCCAUCAUCGUUCGGCUCCACGAUGGGGACGUCGCUGCAACCGACCGUCUUAAUGGAGGUGGCCAGAGUUCCAAUCCGGUAAAAAAAUUGGACGCACCAAAUACCACUUGA
Molecule: unclassified non-coding RNA, 681 nt
Filed under: Zea mays
Lineage: Eukaryota; Viridiplantae; Streptophyta; Magnoliopsida; Poales; Poaceae
Description: misc RNA Zm00001eb007980
Source: RNAcentral